UACAGAGACUGCAAGCGUUAUUCGGAUUCACUGGGCGUAAAGGGUGCGCAGGCGGCCAAGUGUGUUAGGCGUGAAAGCCCGGGGCUUAACCCCGGAAUUGCACCUAAAACUACAUGGCUAGAGCAUUGGAGAGGGUAGCGGAAUUCACGGUGUAGCAGUGAAAUGCGUAGAUAUCGUGAGGGAACACCAGAGGCGAAGGCGGCUACCUGGACAAUUGCUGACGCUCAGGCAACGAAAGCGUGGGGAGCAAAAGGG
RNAcentral lists this ribosomal RNA (255 nucleotides) under uncultured bacterium. Its description in RNAcentral is "partial 16S ribosomal RNA". It matches the Rfam family "Bacterial small subunit ribosomal RNA", at positions 524 to 776 of the family's 1533-position model. The record is from RNAcentral.